AACCGUUUAAUAAAUUGGUAUUGAGCGAAGGACUAAUAGGAGUCAGAAAC
Small RNA from Blautia sp. An46, 50 nucleotides. It matches the Rfam family "gut-2 RNA". From Rfam's summary of the family: gut metagenomes. The record is from Rfam. NCBI's taxonomy places the organism in Bacteria, Bacillati, Bacillota, Clostridia, Lachnospirales, Lachnospiraceae.